RNAcentral lists this transfer RNA (65 nucleotides) under Dipodomys ordii (Ord's kangaroo rat). It matches the Rfam family "tRNA". Rfam says of the family: Transfer RNA (tRNA) molecules are approximately 80 nucleotides in length. The record is from Rfam by way of RNAcentral. Lineage: Eukaryota; Metazoa; Chordata; Mammalia; Rodentia; Heteromyidae.
GGUGGCUCAAUGGUAGAGCGCUUGCCUUGUAUGCGUGAGGCCAUAGGUUCAAUUCCUCAGCACCA